Long non-coding RNA from Cloeon dipterum, 688 nucleotides. RefSeq lists it as uncharacterized. The record is from RefSeq and is a predicted model, not a curated record. The transcript is spliced from 3 exons. NCBI's taxonomy places the organism in Eukaryota, Metazoa, Arthropoda, Insecta, Ephemeroptera, Baetidae.
UGUUGGAAGUUAGAACAAUAACCAAAUCGAUUCAAAUUGCAACUUCAACCACCAAAAAACUAAUUUCUACCAAUGCAAACGUACAAAAUGAUUUUAUCUCCGAAUUAAAAAACUUCAAUUAUAUUAUAUGCAGAAAUCUCCAGUGUCAACGAUUUCAACCACAAAGAGCAGUUUAACUUCAAAAGCUACACCAAUGACAACAAAAGUAGGAAUACUUCCAAAUUUGUAUCAAAUAUGUUAUAUCAAUUGAUCAAUUUUAAUUUAAUUUAAUUAUGCAAUUUGCGUCAUUUGAAAAAAGUUGUCAUAGUUUGGUCAGAAGUGUAAUUUAAAAAAAAAAUAGAAUUCGUCAUCGGCCACCACUUUGUCGGUCACCAAAUCUGUUAAAAUUUCAACCACGACCAUUACAAAACCAACCACUGCUGCAGCAAAGGUCUAAAUAUUUUAUUUGAAAAUUUAUCCAUUAAAACCAGUCAAUUUAAUUAAAGAUGAUAACAAGUUCACCUGCACCAUCGGUUUCCACCACUAAAGGCGUUUCAACUUCAAGAGCUACACAAAUGACAACAAAAUUAAUUAAAAUCAUUACGACAACCAAAUCCACCACUCCAUUGAAACCAGUUGGCACAAAGCCACGUACAACUAGUACCAAAGCGCCCAAAGUUCUCCCAAACUGUCCCUCAACAUGUGAAAG